This 631-nucleotide long non-coding RNA is filed under the name Manihot esculenta (cassava). Its description in RNAcentral is "long non-coding RNA (MESC_LNC010026)". Lineage: Eukaryota; Viridiplantae; Streptophyta; Magnoliopsida; Malpighiales; Euphorbiaceae. The record is from RNAcentral.
CAUGUUUUUAUAAAAUGUUUUCAUGUAUUUUAGUGUUUUAAGUAUGAUCUUAAAUAAGUUUUUGCAUGAAAAUUCUUUAAGGAAAAACCCAGGUUCGGCCGCCGAAACUCACUUUCGGCCGCCGAACAUGCAUGGACUUUGGGAGGCACGUUAGGCCCCCGAAAGUCUAAGUGAGGGAAGUGCAGGUUCGGCCGCCGAACCUCAUGUUCGGCCGCCGAACAUUGCAUGGAUGCGGAGGCACAUUCGGCCCCCGAACGUGGCCUGGCCAGCCACUAUAAAAGGGUCCCCUUGGUCCGCACGGGCGAGCUUUUUCUCUCCCAUUGUCGGCCAAGGUGAGUCUCCACCGUUCCUCCCUCGAUCUUGAGUGUUUCCUCUAGAUCUUUCAUGGUUUUAACAAGUUUAUAACUUUGUUUUGAAGAUUUGUGAGCUUUGAGCAAGCUUCGAGUGCUUGGAGGUUCAAAGAGCUUAAUCUCUCCAUCUCCAAGCUAGGAUCGCUUUCCUCUCGUUUCUUCAAGAGGUAAGGGUCGAUCUUGAACCCUUUUUAUGUUUUAAACAAGUUUUAAGUAAGAUCUAUGGGUAGAAAUGCAUGUUAGGACAUAUGUUGAGUUUAUGGGUUUUGAUGAUGUUNNNN